Molecule: long non-coding RNA, 2633 nt
Filed under: Triticum aestivum (bread wheat)
Lineage: Eukaryota; Viridiplantae; Streptophyta; Magnoliopsida; Poales; Poaceae
Description: long non-coding RNA (TAES_LNC011445)
Source: RNAcentral
UUACUUUUCACAUCCUCAGUGAGUUCACUGAUGUUUGCAUCAGUGCUUUCGGUUAUUGCUUCUGUUUCUUUGGCUUCAGCGUCCUUCACCUCUUCUGCCGGCAGGUCACUUGCUGAUAUGUUUUCUUCCACUUCAACAGGUUCAGUAUUCUUGAUUUCUUCUAGUUCUGGAUCUUGUGCUUGUGGUAUGUCAACUGUUGCCUCAGUUGCUAUCACAUGCUCUUCAGGAUCUGCCUCGUCAACAUUAGUUUUGACAUCCUCAGUGAGCUCACUGAUGUUCUCAUCAGUGCUCUCAUUGAUUGCUUCAGAGUUCUUCACCUCUUCUGUCUGCAUGUCACUUGCUGACAUGUUUUCUUCCACCUCAACAGGUUCAGUAUUCUUGAUCUCUUCUAGUUCCAGCUCCUGUGCUUGUGGUAUGUUAACUGUUGCCUCAGUUGCUAUUACAUGUUCUUCAGGAGCUGCCUCGUCUGCAAGCGCAACAUUAGUUUUGACAUCCUCACUGAGCUCACUGAUGUUCGCAUCAGUGCUCUCGUUGAUUGCUUCAGUGUCCUUCACCUCUUCUGCCUGCAUGUCACUUGCUGACAUCUUUUCUUCCACUUCAACAGGUUCAGUAUUCUUUAUCUCUUCUACUUCUGGCUCUUGUACUUGUGGCAUAUCAACUGUAUCAUCAGCUACUGUUAUAUGUUCUUCAGGAGCUGCCUCAUCUGCAAGAGCAACAUUGUUUUUCACAUCUUCAGUGAGCUCAGUGUUGUUUGCAUCAGUGUUCUCAUUGAUUGCUUCAGUCUCUAUGGCUUCAGUAUCCUUCACCUCUUCUGCUGGCAGAUAAUUUGCUGAUAUGUUUUCUUCCACUUCAGCAGGCUCAGUACUCUUGGUCUCUUCUAGUUCUGGCCCUUGUGCUUCUGGUAUGUCAACUGUUGCCUCAGUUGCUAUUACAUGCUCUUCAGGAGCUGCCUCGUCUGCAGGAACAACAUUGCUUGUCACAUCCUCAGGUAGCUCACUGGUGUUUGCAACAGUUCUCUCGUUGAUUGCUUCAGUUUCCUUCACCUCUUCUGCUUGCAGGUCACUUGCUGAUCUAUUUUCUUCCACCUCAACAGGUUCAGUAUUCUCGAUCUCUUCUAGUUCCGGCUCCUGUGCUUGUGGUAUGUCAACUGUUCUCUCAGUUACUGUUACCUGCUCUGCAUGAGGUUCCUCGUCUGCAAGUGCAACAUUGCUUUUCACAUCCUCAUUGAGCUCGCUGAUGUUUGCAUCAGUCCUUUCGCUGAUUGCUUCAGUUUCCUUGGGUUCAAUUUCCUUGACCUCUUCUGCUGACAGGUCACCUGCUUCAGUAUUCUUGAUCUUUUCUAGCUCCGGCUCUUGUGCUUGUGGUAUAUCGGCUGUUGUCUCGGCUACUGUUACAUGUUCUUCAUGAGCUGCCUCAUCUAUAAGAGCAACGUUGCUUUUCAUAUCUUCAGUAAGCUCACUGAUGUUUGCAUCACUGCUCUCGUUGAUUGCAUCAGUUUCCUUGGCUUCAGUGUCCUUCACCUCUUCUGCCAGCAUGUCAUUAGCUGAUGCGUUUUCUUCCACCUCAACAGGUUCAACAUUCUCAAUCUCUUCUAGGUCUGGCUCUUGUGCUCGUGGAAUAUCAACUGUUGCCUCAGUUGCUGUUACAUGCUCUUCAGGAGCUGCCUCGUCUGCAGGAGUAACAUUGCUUGUCACAUUCCCGGUGAGCUCGCUGAUGUUUGCAUCAGUGCUCUCGUUAAUUGCUUCAGUUUCCUUGGCUUCAAUUUCCUUCACCUCUUCUGCUGGCAGGUCACCUGUUGAUCUGUUUUCUUCUACCUCGUCAGGUUCAACAUUCUCGAGCUCUUGUAGUUCUGACACUUGUGCUUGUGGUAUAUCAACUGCUGCCUCAGCUGCUGUUACAUGCUCUUCUGGAGCUGCCUCAUCUGCACGAGUAACAGUACUUUUCACAUCCUCAGUGAGUUCACUGAUGUUUGCAUCAGUGCUCUCAGUUAUUGCUUCUGUUUCUUUGGCUUCAGCGUCCUUCACCUCUUCUGCCGGCAGGUCACUUGCUGAUAUGUUUUCUUCCACUUCAACAGUUUCAGUAUUCUUGAUUUCUUCUAGUUCUGGAUCUUGUGCUUGCGGUAUGUCAACUGUUGCCUCAGUUGCUAUCACAUGUUCUUCAGGAGCUGCCUCGUCUGCAAGAGCAACAUCAGUUUUGACAUCCUCAGUGAGCUCACUGAUGUUCGCAUCAGUGCUCUCAUUGAUUGCUUCAGUAGGUUUCACCUCUUCUGCCUGCAUGUCACUUGCUGACAUGUUUUCUUCCACCUCAACAGGUUCAGUAUUCUUGAUCUCUUCUAGUUCCAGCUCCUGUGGUUGUGGUAUAUCAACUGCUGUCUCAGCUACUGUUACAUGCUCUUCAUGAGGUUCCUCGUCUGCAAGAGCAACAUUGCAUUUCACCUCCUCUGUGAGCUCACUGAUGUUUGCAUCAGCACUCUCGUUGAUUUCUUCAGUGUCCUUCACCUCUUCUGCUGGCAGGUCACUUGCUGAUAUGUUUUCUUCCACUUCAACAGGUUCAGUAUUCUUCAUCUCUUCUACUUCUGGCUCUUGUGCUUGUGGCAUAUCAAAUGUAUCAUCAGCUACUGUUACAUGUUCUUC